CGCAUCAUUACCGAGUCCUUGGUUGAAAGGAAAAGCAACUGACUCAGCUAACGCAGAGGUUUUAAAAGUAGGCUUAUUUUGAAGGGCCCUGGAACUCAUGAAAGAGCCAUUGAAUGCAGCCUCGUGGGAGCUGAGGACGGGAAUUGACCAGAUCCCUUCAUUUAUUCACAGUUCCUGCUCUCCUGUCGUCCUGGCUGUUUCUCCUCGGUCAUAAACCAGCUCCAGGCCUGAUGUGGCAUGACUGAUAGGCUUCUGCGGCUUAGCUGGACUCUCGCAGAACUGGCUCCACAUCCGGUCAGAGGACCUGGAGAAAAGGCUCAGAGACUAAGGGCACUUGCUGCUCUCCCAGACGACAUGACUUCUCUUCCCAGCACCCACAUCAGGGGAGCUCACAACUGCCUGUAAUUCUAGCUACAUGAGAUCUGACCCCCUCUCUGCUGGCCUCUCGGGGCAUCUGCACAGGCACACACAUAUAUACAGAUAAAGAAAAAUAAAAUAAUUUUUUUUUAAAAAAUGAAGAGGAGAGGUGGUCUCUCGGGGCUGCCUGAGAAGUUACUAAUGAAAGAAGAUGAACACACUCACUGGAGAAUAAACCUCCAGAAAUCAAAGGAGAAAAAGGCUUCAAGCUGAAACUGAAGCAGAGCCACUAUGGUGUGGAUAUAGAGUGCCCCCCAAAAAAGCUGAAUGGCACUGAAUGGUCCCCAGCUAGCAGUGUUAUUGGGAAAUUCUGGAAAUAUCAAGAGGUAGAACACCCUCAUUGGGAGCAUAUCCUUGGGAGUCUGUGUCUUGUCCUGGGUCUCUUCCUGCCUCCCUUCUGACCACCAUGAGACAACCACUCUGUUUCUUUGUGUGUGUGUGU
This is a long non-coding RNA of Alexandromys fortis (reed vole), 859 nucleotides long. RefSeq lists it as uncharacterized. The record is from RefSeq and is a predicted model, not a curated record. Lineage: Eukaryota; Metazoa; Chordata; Mammalia; Rodentia; Cricetidae. The transcript has 3 exons.